Molecule: long non-coding RNA, 2687 nt
Organism: Oncorhynchus tshawytscha (Chinook salmon)
Lineage: Eukaryota; Metazoa; Chordata; Actinopteri; Salmoniformes; Salmonidae
Source: Ensembl
AGCGAAUCCCCCACCGCCUGCCAUCGACAUAGCUUCCACCCGUGAGUUUCGUAAGGAUCUUGUGUAAGGCUGUUGUUACAUAGUCUUCAAUGGCUAUUACAUAUAUAUGUAGUAGCUAUCUACAGUGUUUCCAGAAGUCCGGAAAAUUGUCAGUCGCUCACGUCGCAUGUGAAGAUGUAUCCGAAAAGAAAAAGUGCAAUGGAUAGUCAAAUUAUUUCGGCAGAAAUUGCUUUAGGUCUUGUUCUGUGUACAGCAUAUCGGAUAAUUUCGAAGAACAUUUUCAGUCAACAGGAGGAGAGUCAACCUGUUGACAGUGAACAGUUUGAGCUAACAAGGUCACUAGUGUGUGUAUGGCUUGCAAGCAACAUAAAGUUCCUACUCAUUAAAUGCAACAGCAAUCCAGUUUCACUGUCUGCACAUUCAACAUCCAGGCUGAUUCGGCCUACAGUGGACAUGGCCAUGUGUUCUUUCUUCAUAGUGAGCAGUGUUGUCCUCUUCUUUUUGGACCACAGCCAGCUGCAGAGCAGAGUGGACUUGCGCAUGAUCUUCAGUGACUCUCAGAAGUUCUUCCUUCAGAUGGACUUUUUUGCCACCUUUGUCUUUGGCCUCCUCUGGCUGGCCUUCCCCGAUUGGCUCCUAGGAUUCCAGCCCAUUACAGGUUCUGAGGACACCUUCCAUCUUCACCUCAGUAGAGCCUUUGGCGCCAUGAUGGUGGGUGACAGUUUUGUCUCUUUUACAACACAGAAUUUCCAACCCAACAAAGAAAAGCCAUCCGUGUUCAUAAGCCGAGCAGUGGUAUGUGAUAUUUCAGCAAUCUCUUUUUUUUAUUUUAUUUUAAUUAAUUUUUUUACAAUAGAGAGUUCUGGGCCUGUUUGGCCCUGUCCGGGGGUGUCCUCGGAUGGGUCCACAGUGUCUCCUGACCCCUCCUGUCUCAGCCUCCAGUAUUUAUGCUGCAGUAGUUUAUGUGUCGGGGGGCUAGGGUCAGUUUGUUAUAUCUGGAGUACUUCUCCUGUCCUAUUCGGUGUCCUGUGUGAGUCUACGUGUGCGUUCUCUAAUUCUCUCCUUCUCUCUCUCGGAGGACCUGAGCCCUAGGACCAUGCCCCAGGACUACCUGACAUGAUGACUCCUUGCUGUCCCCAGUCCAUCUGAACGUGCUGCUGCUCCAGUUUCAACUGUUCUGCCUUAUUAUUAUUCGAACAUGCUGAUCAUUUAUGAACAUUUGAACAUCUUGGCCAUGUUCUGUUAUAAUCUCCACCCGGCACAGCCAGAAGAGGACUGGCCACCCCACAUAGCCUGGUUCCUCUCUAGGUUUCUUCCUAGGUUUUGGCCUUUCUAGGGAGUUUUUCCUAGCCACCGUGCUUCUACACCUGCAUUGCUUGCUGUUUGGGGUUUUAGGCUGGGUUUCUGUACAGCACUUUGAGAUAUCAGCUGAUGUACGAAGGGCUAUAUAAAUACAUUUGAUUUGAUUUGAUUUGAUUUCUGAUGCUUCCAUAUAAAUACAUAGAAUCAAUUGAGAAUAACACCCCAUCAUACACACCCCUCCCCACCCACAAAAUAAGUUAAUGUCAGGCAAAGCUAUGACUAGGUGGCAGUUUCACACAAUGAAGGCCUACAUGCCAUGCUCCUCCCUAUUCUGACUUGAGACCUGCAUGCUUAACUGGAAUUAUCAUGCAAGUCUGCCAUUGAUGUCACUGAAUAAUUUAUGUGAAAGGUGACUGCAGUGUUUUCUCUUGGUUUUUCAGGGCAGCUUGGUGCUGCUGGUGUUCCUGGUCCACUCUCAGCUGACCACCUCUGCCUGGGCCCCUGCCCAGAUCUGGUUUGGCCUGGUGGGAGCCAGCCUCUGGACAGGAAACUCCAUCUUAGGUUACCUCAGCUCUAAACAACAAAAUAUGUAAGAAGUCCAUUCACAUAGACACUGAACACAACAGUCACAACAUAACAGGCAGAAGUUACAUUGAACCCUCUUCUGUGUCCCACAAGACUGUUAGCCGCUUAAGUGAAGUUGAUCACGUGAGCAUGGUUAAUCAAACCACAGCUGUUGCACAGAAAGCAGAGGCAGAUUCUCUGGGAACCUGGAGUGACUUAGAAUGAGUGAUUAUUUAUUGUUAAACAAUUUCCAUCCUAUGUUGUUCAGUCUUAUGAUUUUCAUACUUCACCAUGAAUGAGAUGGUGAUGGUCAUUGCUGACAGAGGUGGAAAGAGACUCUUUGGAAAUCUAAAUGUCUAAAUAUACUGUACUGUACAUUUGUAAAUGUGUAACUCCUCUGAGAGGAGGUUAGAAGCCAUCGGAGAUUGUAAAAGACACUUGACCCCACCAUUCCACUGUACAGAAGUGAAUAGUAAGUAUGCAGGCUCAGCCUUAGAAACAUAAUUAUGAAAUAACUUUUUAGUAACUAUUGAUGGGAAGCGUGGAGGUGUUGUAGCUGCACCCAUAUGACUAAAUAGAUGUAACUGACGUUGAAAUUCUGUCAAGGAAUAAAAGUGAAGGGAAAUGUUACUCAGAAACAUUGUGAUAUUCUAAUCUAGUGCUUCCUUUUUAUUUAUCCUGCUCCAAGGCUUGAACUCUCUGUAACCACUAGAUGGUGCUAUGCACAUGGCCAUGGAGUGCCUCUGAAUGGAUUUGAAUCAUAGGGAAUCUAGCUUUUAAUAGCCCAUCGUUCCUAUCAUUAUAUUUCCAUGACAUAGUCU